ACCUGGUUGGCUCACUCAGUAGAGCAUGCGACUCUUGACCUCAGAGUUGUGGGUUCAAGCCCCAUGUUGGGUA
This is a non-coding RNA of Canis lupus familiaris (dog), 73 nucleotides long. The record is from Rfam. Lineage: Eukaryota; Metazoa; Chordata; Mammalia; Carnivora; Canidae.